RNA transcript from Helianthus annuus (common sunflower), 3066 nucleotides. It is a transcript of the gene named ribonuclease TUDOR 2-like, with no coding region annotated. The record is from RefSeq and is a predicted model, not a curated record. The transcript is spliced from 14 exons. Lineage: Eukaryota; Viridiplantae; Streptophyta; Magnoliopsida; Asterales; Asteraceae.
CCGAAAUAACCUCCGGGUCAGAUCAGUUUGAUUUGGAUCUUAUUUAAUGUUUCAUCUCUCUUAUCAUUCUCACUGUCGCUUUUUCUCCAAACCCUAAAUGAACCAAAUGCCGCAUCUUUUUUAGAGAAAUCAAUCGAAACAAAGCCAAAUACGAUGUCACAUUCGACUCAUUCUUUGUUCUUCGUCUUCUCCGAUUGAAGAUUAUUUUCUGAUGUAAUCGUCGCUCCUCUUCAUCAUCAAUCGCAAUAGCGACAAAAGUUUUAAUCGGUUCACGGCUAGGCUCUCUCAUCAUGAUUUUUUAUUGUUCCAUUGGACUUUAAUAUAUAUGCUGGAUAUUCUGAUGAAGAUAUUGACCAACAAGUUAUCAAAAUCAAGGUUUUUUUUUUGUGAAAUGGAAGAUCCUGUAGAACAACAACUUAUCAACAAACAGAACUGAAACUAUUACCCACCAGGUGUUCGAUGAAAUGCCUCAUGUUUGAUCCUAACCCUAAAUAUGUUAGUCAUUAUUUGCAAUUUGUGCGUUUGAUUAAAUGCCUAUUGAGGUUUGAUCUUUUUAAAAUCUGAACUAGAUUUGUUUUCAUUUAGAUGAGUAUAAUGUCGGGUGUAAAUUAUUCAGUUUUGGUUUUUUGUAGAGUCACGAGUCGAUCUUUUUGCCAAGAGACGGUCAAACAAGGCAUUCCAAAUAUUACUGAUUGUGUGAUGGCUGAACUCGAGAAGCUUGGACAGAAAUAUCGUGUUGCUUUGAGGCAAGUUAGUACAUUACUUUUUUCAAUAAGUCAUCAAACAAACAACGGGAAUAACAUACUAAUUACUUUGUUGUCUUGGUCAAAUAAAAUUGCUAAGGAACCUAUUUGAAAGGCUUCAUUGCACUCACAAAGGAACUUAUGUUGUUGACUGCUUUUGUUGAAAGUGUUAAUCAGCCCAACAAUCAACUCGAUAUCUAACGGUGUUUGAGGAUAGUCCUUCAUGUUGCAUGCUAUUUUCUUCCACCUUUUGAUCUUGAUGCUUUUUUCUCAAGAACUGGUAAAAGGUCGAGACGGUUUGGUUGAUUAACUUUUAGCUGUCAUAUUUCCAGUGGUUCAGAAACAGCAUCAGCUUCUUGUGACAUUGCUUCUGUGCAAUGCAGCUGCCAUAAAGGUAUUAAAAAAACAAGUUAAAGGAAAUCCACUAAAAGUCGCCCAAAGUGUAUUUAGUGAUGGCACAACCAGCUGGAAAUUCAUGAUGGCUGAGAGGAAAAGUGAAAGUUGUUUCAUCUGGGGACACGGUGAUUAUGGGAAUGACCAAAGUGGAAAUCCCGCCUGAGAAGACUGUUUUGUUGGCUCAUCUUUCGGCUCCAAGACUGGCACGUCGAGGUGGCCAGGAUGACCCGUUUGCAUGGGAUAGCAGAGAAUUUCUACAAAAGCUGUGCAUUGGAAUGGAUGUUGUUUUUAGAACGGAAUACACCAUCCCAAAUUUCUCUAGGGAAUUCUGUAGUGUUUUCAUCGGUACUACAAAUGUCGAAAAUGAGAUUGUCACUCAUGGCUGGGCGAAGGCUAAGGAGUUUAAGGGAGAGGUGACUCCUGAGCAUACUGAACUGUUACGCCUUGAAGAACAAGCCAGACAACAAGGCAUAGGUUUAUGGGACAGGUCCCCCGGUUCUGUUGAUGCUGCUAUCAGAAACCUCCCUUCGUCUGCUGUCGGUGAUCCCAACAAUUUAGACGCAAUGGGCCUCUUAGCUGCAAACAAAGGCAAACCGUUGGAAGCUAUUGUAGAACAAGUUCGUGAUGGGAGCUCGCUUCGCGUUUAUCUGCUUCCGAAAUUUCAGUUUGUUCAAGUAUUUGUUGCCGGAAUCCAGAUGUAGAGAAGCCUGAAGAAACGUCUAAAGAACCCGUAGAAUCAUAUGUGCCCAUUCCCAAAGAAGCAAUUCAGAACAAAAAGUGGCUAUCAAGAGUAUAUCUUGCUGGUUGCUGGCUCGACAUUCUGAACAAGAAUUAGACCUUUUAGGUUUGAGUUUUGAUAUUUGUUGUUUAAUGUCAGCAUGGCGUGCUUCCACCUUCUUAUGGGUCUUAUUUAACAGCUCCUUAGCUGACAAUGUUUUUACGCUUUCAACCACUCACUGACUCACACUCUAAUCAAUCAAAUUUAUUAUCUUCCAACAAGUUCAUGAAAAAGUCGUUAUGCUUAUAAAGUGUAAAGAAAGAAACACAUGGGCAUGGCAUUACACGAAAUCCUUUAUGGGUUUGAUUCAUAUUCCUUCAUUCUAACUAGAAAAGAGCUGGAGAUGUUACAUGACGCAUCACGCAUCACUAAUAAGCAUACAUUUGUUUUCUUUGUAGAGUGAAAAUUCGUUGGUUGAUAUACGGGUCGAUAUCGUUUCAUUACAACCCUUCACACCUAAGAAUUGAAAUUUCACCAGGUAGUUAAGCUCAACGAAGAUAACCAUGGCAUCUAGAAGCAAAAGAGAUGAAAAUUAAAUCAGCUUCGGAUGGAAGAAAAACGUAAGCAAAAUAUUAAACCUAUACCAAUCGGUUGUAAGCAGGCGCAUUUUUCUUUGAACCAUUAUAUACAAGUUUGUCCUUCAUCACCAUCUUUGGGCUUAAUCAUCAUCCUGAUUGAGGUUUCAGGACAAAAAAUUCACCGCGUAAAUCUUUAUUGUUGCUUCGAUUUUGAACUAAUUUGGUGCUGAUGAUGUGAAACUUUCUCGAGAACCAAAACCCCUUUUUUCCUCCACCAUUUCUCAAUGAAGUUAGUUUCUAUAGGGUAAACGCGGAUCCUAAGGUUACUUAGGUACAACGCAUUUUUCUUUGAAGUAACCUUCCUUUCUUUUGUUGCUUCUUCUAACCCAUCAUUGAAACCCUAAAAGAAUAAGACUACACAUCAUCAGGAAGCAAUCCUUAGCCGAUUCAUGGUGUUACUGUCGAUCGGAUCGUUAAUGAUUUUUAUUGUUUUUCAUAUGUAUCUGAUUGAUUGUUUUUAUUCUUCUUUGUUUGUACCAUGUUUGAACAAUCAAUUGUAUCUUAAAAUUGUUACAACUUAUUUGUUUGUAUCUGAACGAUGGUAUAUGAUUUUUAUUUUUCUUAAUUGCUA